AGGACAAACGCUGGCGGCGUGCAUAAAACAUGCAAGUCGAACGGACUUCAGUCCGCAAGGACUGAAGUGAGUGGCGAACGGCUGAGUAACACGUAGGUGACCUGCCCCGAAGUUUGGGAUAACACCUCGAAAGAGGUGCUAAUACCGGAUGUGACCACCGAUUCAUUUCGGUGCUUAAAGUCGCAAGACGCUUUGGGAGGGGCCUGCGGCGGAUUAGCUAGUUGGUGUGGUAACGCACACCAAGGCUUCGAUCCGUAGCUGGUCUGAGAGGAUGGCCAGCCAGACUGGGACU
This 292-nucleotide ribosomal RNA is filed under the name uncultured soil bacterium. RNAcentral describes it as "partial 16S ribosomal RNA". It matches the Rfam family "Bacterial small subunit ribosomal RNA", at positions 26 to 320 of the family's 1533-position model. The record is from RNAcentral.